GAUGAAGAACGUAUUGAAAUGCGAUAAGUAAUGCGAAUUGCAGAAUUCCGUGAGUCAUCGAAUCUUUGAACGCACAUUGCGCCCUCUGGUAUUCCGGAGGGCAUGCCUGUCUGAGCGUCAUUGUCAACCCUCAAGCUCAGCUUGCUGUUGGGUCCCCGUCGUUGCUUUAACGGCGGACCCGAAAGGUAAUGGCAGAGUCCGUGAGACCCUAGACGCAGCGAGCUUCUAGCACGCGUCUGGACGUUUUUCGGGCUCGGUCUUAACUAGAUGAUAACUUCCGAUUGACCUCAGAUCAGGUAGGGAUACCCGCUGAACUUAAGCAUAUCAAUAAGCGGAGGA
This 339-nucleotide unclassified non-coding RNA is filed under the name soil metagenome. Its description in RNAcentral is "partial contains 5.8S ribosomal RNA, internal transcribed spacer 2, and large subunit ribosomal RNA". The stretch from base 1 to 120 matches the Rfam family "5.8S ribosomal RNA", at positions 35 to 154 of the family's 154-position model. The record is from RNAcentral.